UACGGAGGGGGCUAGCGUUGUUCGGAAUUACUGGGCGUAAAGCGCACGUAGGCGGCUUUGUAAGUUAGAGGUGAAAGCCCAGGGCUUAACCCUGGAAUUGCCUUUAAGACUGCAUCGCUAGAAUCGUGGAGAGGUGAGUGGAAUUCCGAGUGUAGAGGUGAAAUGCGUAGAGAUGUGGAGGAACACCAAUGGCGAAGGCAGCCUUCUGGGCCAACACUGACGCUCAUGCACGAAAGCGUGGGGAGCAAACAGG
Molecule: ribosomal RNA, 253 nt
Filed under: uncultured bacterium
Lineage: Bacteria
Description: partial 16S ribosomal RNA
Rfam family: Bacterial small subunit ribosomal RNA
Source: RNAcentral